UCACAAUAUAAUCAGAGUACUUUAUUACAUAGCGGAAGUCUUACAAAAUAAGAGAUAAAUAUCGCAUCUAAAAUCUAUCCUUGGUGCCAGAAAGCAGACUGGGAGACGCCAGCUAGAUCAAGUCGAAUGCCUCAGUGUUAGGCGGCUCCUCUUCGACCACCUGUUCUUCUCCUGUGGGGGGUGUGAGACAGCAAGAGUGAGCUCACAUACGUUCAUAGCUCAACAAGUCGUGGGGAAUAAUGUGGCAUGAACUCACCAAAGGUGGGAGUUCAUGAAGUGUAAGGCUGAUCAAGGAAAUAAAGGCUGAAGCUGAGCAUUGCUUUUAUAAGUUGGUCAAAAUUUUAUUAGCAAUUACUAAGUGUAAGUAAAUACCAAACCUUAAUAAUAAUAAAGAAAGGUAAUAGUAAAAUAAUCUCAAAUGUGAUGCAAAUGUCAAAUUAAAUUUAAGUUCUAUGAAUUAAUCAUGUGAGGGUCUGAGCUGCUCAUGACCAUGAGCACGACUAGUAUACCAGUUUUACACUCUGCAGAGGUUGCGCAUCUUUACCCGCAAGUCAUGUUACCCAUCUGCCAAGAGAUGGCCAAUCCCAUAUACCUCUACCGAGGAGGCGAGGCAGGGUAACACUACGAGGCCUUUACAAAGUUCCACUAGCUUCAGAAAUCCCGCUACAUUUUAUAGGAAGCUCCAGUGCAGGAAUCCCUCGCCUGACCGCCAUCGCAGCAAAAUCAACCCAAGGACCUCCCUACACUGACCACUCUCCUACUACCCUUGCCCCUUUCGGGUAAGGAAGACAUCCACUAGCUUUCCUAGUUAAUCAGCCAAGGGCGUCCCAUUAAACCCUUGUGGUAGCACUGUUUUCCCGGGUGGUCGCUCCAUGUUCCCAUUAACAUAAUGAUCUUAACAUGAACAGUAAUAAUAAACAGAUAAUAAAGAUGAAGUCAUGAAUAGUGUAUCUCCAUACCCAAAUCCAUAUAAAGCAAUAGCAAGUACUACCCAAAAAUGUUUUAGUGGUAAACAAGGUAUAAAGAUAACCAAAACUGGGGUAACCUAUUGGAUCCCAUCAAAAUUAACCUAUGCAGAUCAUUAUAAUUAAUAAGAACAUGGCUGGGAAAAAGUAAGUGAUCAAGGGCAUAACUUGCCUUCAAUGAGCUCCUGCUCAGCUACUUCUACUUGCUGAACCUCAGAAUCCACACUGGCUUGCUCGUCUACUCGCAUCAAUACAAUACAUACAUAGUAUAGCAAAAAUUAACAUUGCACCAAACAUGUAAAUAAAAUACACAAUAAAAAUCUACACAUUAAAAUAAGAACCUAGGAACAUGAAUCAUUAAUUUUGGAGUUAUAGAUUUUGAAUUAUGAAUUUCCAAAGCUUUAAUGUGCUUGAAAUGGAAUUGCAUGAGAAAUAAAUUUUCUUUCUGUUUUCAUGUCAAAACAGGGACUCUAGACGAUAGAUAUUAAUAUUACAAAAUUUUAGAAAUUGGAAUGGAUCGAUUUGGAUAAAAAUAAAUUUUCUAUGCAUUUUACAAGUAGGGAUGGAUCCAGAUAUUUAUUCGGAUGUCAUUUUUUUGGUCUUCUUUUUUUGAUUGUGAACAACUAACAUAUAGAAUUUGCUAUGUAAAUUUAUAUUCUUGUUUUUAGCAUUGAGACUAUUAAUCUUCACAAAAAAAUAAACAUUAAAUUCAUUAUAUAUCUUUUUAAAUAAUUCAUAUAAAAUUCGGAUGUCUAUCCGAAUACGGAUUCGGAUGUUUUUUCACUUUUUUGUUGUAGGGAGAAAACAAUGUACAUAAAAAAUUAUAUAAAAAUUUAUUCAAAUACUUCAUAAUAUUCUUAAUAACAUUGCCGAAAAUUAACUUUAAAUUCUAUGUAUAUCUAUGCUAAAAUAUUAGAUUUGUGAUACAAGUCGGAUGUUUUAGGAACAUCCCUAUUUACAAGUUUCUAGAUUUGUUUUUUUAUUAAAAACGAAUUUCUAUAGUUAUUUCUUUGUUUUUAAUCAUCUCUGGACUGGGCAUCAAUUUUCAGAAAGGUCAGGGGGUUCUGGCGUAAGUUUACCGAGACUCAGAGAAUAGGAAAUGAGGACGGCGGGUUGAAUAGGUACAACCUCGGGGUCUCUUUAACAAAAUAUACCCGCGAAGGGGUAUCUACGGUUUCUGGUCGUUGGAUCGUAAGUGGACGGCUAAGAUUAGAAGGCUGUUAAAACGAACCGGUUUCCAAUCUAGACCUUUGGAUCUGAAUCUAACGAUGGCAACUCUAUGCACGCGAGAUCGGAUUGGAUCCGUCGGAUCAUAUCCAACGGUCCACGGUCCAAGUCCUAAAGGGUAUGGCUCAGGUCUAAUCUCCACCGCCCAAAGAAGAUCAAACGGUUGAUCUCCGACAUCCCGCCUGGCCGCACGCCGGUGACACCAAACCAGAGUGCGACGGUGGCGCGCCAUCGCCGGAGAUCUCCGGCCACGCCGCUAAGGCGUUAAACACCGAUUCCUAUGGUUCUACACGAAGCGGAGAGUGAAUCGAUGAAGAUGGGGGUAGAUCUACCUCGAAUCGGGUCGGCGACUACACUGUCCACGCGGUAACGCGGUUCCGCGGCGAUGAUUGGACGGUGACGAGCAAUUAGGAGCGCGCCGAGGACAAUCUCGCCCGAAUGUGUCAUGAGCAGCACUGGGGGUUGCCCACGAACACCCAGGACGCCCCGCCACGGUCAAACACCCCCGUGAUAUGGAUUUAGCCGGCGGCGGAGUUUCCCUCUAGCGGCGGCGCACUGAGAACCAGAAGGCGGUGAUUGGACGCGGCAAGGUGGGGCGAAGAGUGGUCACGGGCACCGAGCGCUAGUGUUUAUACGGUCAACACCCCCAACGGUCCGAGCGCGCAUUGCGCGGUCGUGGCGGCGAGGUUGGUUCAUGCCGCGCGACCUUCGCGGAGGAGAAGACGGCAGCGACGUUGAGACUGGUCACUGGGGCCCACCGCGCAGCGAGUUGAGAGGGGGAGAACGCAGCGUCACUGACUAGCCUAGCCCACCAGUCGGCGCUGCGGAUAGGUGGUGGGCUGCGCAGCUAGUAAACAGGAAAUGGGCCGAAAACGAAGAACUGAGCCCAUACUCCAUUUUCCUUUUUAUUAUUUUCUGUUUCUGUUUUCUUCCUUUCUAAAUUCAAUUUUUGAAUUCAAAUUUAAAUUCGAAGCUUGUGCCGAUUUUACCCACAAAUUAUAUUGUAAUCUUAAAAUUACUAAACUUGAAAAUAUAUCUUUAUAUAUAUUUUCUGUAAAUUUUAUACUCUUUCUCUUUCUUUUCCAUUUAUUUUCUCUCCUCUAUUUCAAUCCCUAAUUCUCAAUUUAGGAUUCAAACUUCAUUUCAAGUCAUUUUUAUUAUUUUUUUCUAGCAUUAUCAUUGUUAUUAUUUUAAUGCACAAGCAAACAAAACUCCAAAGGAUGCACAAGUUAUUUGAGUGUCUUUUGUUACCCAUUUAUUCUUGUUAAGUAGGGUGUCCACAUGAGAUGAUGCACAUAGAUGACUCACAAAUAUAUAAAGGAAUGAAAUUUCUCUUUUUAGACUUUUCUUACAAAGUGGUUAUUACACUUAGACUGGUUGGGCGAUCUCUAGAUAUGUUUGUCUAAGCCAUAGGAACACCCACAUACACAGUCAAAUCGAAAUGAAGAAGAAAUAUGCAAAUUUGAGUUAAGCCAGUCUGUCUACAAAGCACCGGACUAGUCCGGUGGCAAAUCGGGCCGAGUACAUAGAGAGGUCUAAAGAAAAGCUUUGGUUGGAUGGUGCACUAGACUAGUACAAUGGCUAUUCGGACCAGUUUUUCUAGAGAGACUGUUUUAGAAGUUUGAAGACGCUGGCACAUCGUACCAGUCGGGUCUCAACAAUCAAAGUUCAUGAUCCAAUGGCUAGUUGACGUGGCAGGGUCCGGUGAGUCUGAAAGGAAUGCUCCCUGUUAGAAUGGUCAUCUGUAAUGACAGUCUAACAAGGUCCGGUGCACACGCAUAAAGUGCAGUUUUUAGCAUUUAAGUCCAAUGACUAAUUGAGUGGUUGAGGGCUAUAUAUACACCCCAACCAGCUCAUACAAUACACAAGAGCUAAGCAUUCAAGUAUAUUCAUUAUAGCAACACAUCCAUUGUUCCAAAGCGAUCCGAUCCUUAGGGACACCUCAACGGAGAUGUAGGUUUUGUUUGGAAACUGAACUCCGGUAAAUAAAUUGUCAUGUUCAUUUGUGUUGUUUUGCUUGUGAUUCGUUACCCCUUCUCCCUCUCUAAGUUCUCUUGCUUGAUCAUUACUCGAAUCAAUUUGUGUUGCUCCCAAGUUAAUUCUGCAAUCAUAAGAGCAACACUUACAAGAAGAACUACUCUCCAUUACUUUGAUUGUUUUAUCUCUCAUUCUAAUGCCUAAGCGUGAAUCACAAUGUGUGUGUUAAGUGACAUUUCAAGUUUUGCCUAUUCACCCCUAGGUGACUUUAACUCGUACAUCUACAAAAUCACUCCACUCGGUCCUUUGGAGCCAAACACCUAAGUGAAGUGUACAUUAAACCAACAAAAGCUAUACCCUAUAAACAUGGAUGCCGAAGCCAACAUUUGUGAAACCCAUUUGACAUCCUUCCUAACAUCCUCGAGGAAACCCCUUCCAAAGCUCAACAACCACCAACAAGAGUGAACCAUGACCACAAGAAAACAAAAAAACAAAUGAGAGACAGAGAGAGGUGAAAUUCCACUAUGAGCAUUGCAUAGGGAUGUUCUCCUUGUGGAGUUUUGCUUUUGUAGGAAGAGGGAUGAAAGGUGUGGGUUUGAUAAGAAUAAAUGGGACACGUACCAUUCCUAUGGUGUACAUGCCCCAUCUAUUUAGAGGUGUGCAACUAGGCCGAGAGGUACAUGGUUGCCAUCCCAAGCAAUAUCCAAGUCAUAGUCAAUAUGGACCUCAUGAUGAUGGCUUUGCGUCUCAGACUCCUAGUGAAUCAUGUUUCCCUGUUGUGGUGAUAUUUUUACCCAAUGUGACAUGGGAUGUUUGGCUUGUUUCAAACCCCUCCUUUAAACAAUUGGAUGAACACUAGUACUCUUCAUAGCAUAGUGUUGUACCAUUUUCUCAUACUUUGUAUUUCUAUUGAGUAGGUUAGAGGACUAGAGAACAUGUGGUUCAUUGACUCUAGAUGUUUUUCUUGUAUGACUAGUAGUUCCAAAUAUUUCUCUAGCCUUACCCCAUGUAUGGUAAGAAAUAUAUCACUUUCAUGGAUAACAACAAUGAAAAAAUUGUCUUUCAUGCAGCCAUUUAGGUAAAUGAGAGCUUUGUACUCAAGGAAGUUGCUUUGGUUGAUAAUUUGCAUUUCAAACUCUUGUCUGUUUUGCAAGUCCUUGAGGUUGGAUUUGAAGUGCACUUUUAAGAAGGGUGUUUCUUGUGUUCUUGACUCCCAUAAGGAUAUCUUAUUGUUGAAUUUCUCCUUUCAGUUGUGCUUUUUGUGUUGACUUGUUGAGGUCAUUUGGCCCUUCUCAUUGCUUGGUGGGUGAAUUUAUUUUUGACCUUGAAAAUGGCAUAUCAGUCAUGGACAUUUGAGUUUUGACUUGCUUGCAUGACUUAGAACACUUACCUUAUCCAAGAAUUGCAAAGUUGAAAUUUGAUAAAUAUAAUGUUUGCUACCCUUAUCGUCGUAAAAAUGGUUACUACUUCCCAUCCACUCAUUAAGAAAGUUUUGACUAAGCAACCUAGUGAGCUCUUACACAGACAAAAUUAUUCCUACUCACUUACACGCAGUUGGUGGGAGUGGCUUGUUCUUGUUGUAGUUGAUGACUAUUCUCUAACCUCUUGGGUAUUUUUCAUGGAGAGUAAGGAUGAGGCUUUUUCACAUGCUCGAGAUUUGGUUCUUAGGAUGCAAAAUGAGUUUCCAAAACAUGACAUGAGAGUGAUUACAUUGACAAUGACAUAGAAUUCAAGAAUACUCAUUUUAAGACAUUUUGUGCUUCUCUUGAAUUCAAGCAUGAGUUUCCUUCUCCCUGUAUGGUUCAAUUGAAUGGUGUUGUCAAACACAAGAAUCAGAUCUUUGUUGAUAAGGUUAGGACAUUGCUCUAUGAUCACAACACUCCUAGAAAGUAUUGGGUUGAUGUGAUCAACACGGCUUGCUAUGUAUCAAAUAGCAUUUUCCUUUGAGUCUUCUUAAACAAGACAUCUUUUGAGUUGCAAUUUGGAUGUGCACCCAAGGUGAGCCAUUUCUAAGUUUUUAGCUGCAAGUGAUUUAUUCUUAUAAAGGUAAUUUAGACAUGUUAGAGUCCUAAUCUUAUAAUUGGAUUCAUCUUGGUUAUGAAUUACACUCUCAAGCUUAUUGUGCACUUAACAUUUAGACUAUCUAUAUUAUGGAGAAUAGUAAUAUGACAAUUGAUGGGACCAUGGCUUAUGCACCUUGUGUUUGAGACUAUAUGUGAAAAGGAGAUGGGCGAGAGCUUACUAUUUGAUGAGGAUAAAAAGGUGGUAAUUAGAGAUAUCAACAACUGACACCACCAGUUUCCCCCUAUGGAACCUACUUCCACCACUUUGGCUAAUCAAGCAUCCACUUAUUCAACCUCAUUCAUCUCAUUUCAACAUCUACUACCCCUAGUGCAAGCAUAAUUUAGAAGCGGAGUUUGUAGCUAUUGAGGAGGAGGAGAUCACUUCGAGAGGAAAGCUCCCAACACAUUUAGAUUGUCAAUACACCUCAAUAGAUCUAGGUCACACCAAAUGUUGGGGAAAUGAUCCCUGGUCCCUAGGACCUGCCAGUCAGUGAGCGCGCUGAAGGAAGAGCCCUUGAUCGCUAGGUCCUGUUACUCAUUCGGAAGAGGCAGGUGUGCCAACCAAGGAAGGACCCACCCUCGGUCGAACCCCGCGGCACAAAGCCCGGGGCCGGGCGUGGCGAAGCAUGACAAGGGAGGACGAGCAUUUCGAAAGGGAACCACUCGAGUGGAUCCUGUCCCCGGCCCUAGACUGACCCACCAUAAAUGAUUGGCCGCAUUAACCACGCCUGGUGCCGAACCACAUCAUGGGUGCCAGUCCACUUCCCACUCAUGACCUAUGGACCCCUCAGGUCGCAUUGUACUCAUGAGCUACGAGCCCCUGGACUACGACACAUUAAUAGCAUGCAGGCCCCUCGGUCUGUGGGUGCACUCGUGGCCUAUCGGGCUAGGCCUGAGUGCACAGACCUCCCGCAGGGCACUACACGACGGGUUGCAUUAAGCCCCAGGCUACGGAAGCCAGGGGUCAGCGUAGCCGGAAUGAUGGCAUCUAGGACCAUCGUCGUCCCCGCGUCAUCCACUAAAAUAAAUACACGACAGCUAGGCACCCCUGGGCCCCACAAAUACGCAUGGCCUCACCUGGGGUAAAACGUUGGUUUUACCCUUCCUUGCGGCUCCUUCCUAGAAAAGCCACCGCUGGCCGACCCCUCUCUCGGCCUAUAAAAGGGAGAGGGCCGCCUCAGGACAGGGUGAUGGACCGAUCGAGGAACAAAAGGACAGACUGAGGGAUGACCGGAUGCCUUUAGACGGAGACGAGCCCACAAGGAUGAACAGGAGGAGGAGCGUUGAUGAGGAACACGAGGCCAGAGCCCCGCCAUGCCAAGACUUGCUAGGACUCCACCUCUCAGCUUCUAAGCUCCACUUCCACCCUGAUAUGAGAUCUAGGAGCCUCUGCUCUCUCUCUCUCUCUCUCUCUCGAUUGCUUGUAACCCCUACUACAAGUUUGAUCAUCAAUGGGGACAUUAGCGCAAGCCACCGAUUACUGUAUGUAGGGACGUUCUGCCCGAACCAAUAUAAAUCUUGUGUCAUUCGUGCACACCCUUCGGAGCUCGGAACACGCACAAUAAAUUUACUUGUUGGAACGAGGUACGAAACAUCGUCACCAAAUCUCUCACUUUGUUCAUUCUAUAUUGUUUCUUCUUGAACCCUAAGAUGUUGGACACACUUUUCAAUACAAAUUGGGACAAUACUAUGCAUGAUGAACUUGAACACUUUGAAAGAAACCAAGUUUGGGUUUUGGUACAACCCUCACAUGAUUGUCACCCCGUUGACUCAAAAUGGUUUCCAAAUACAAAAAAGGGGAAGAUGGGAUGGUAGUUGUCGAGCUAAUGACCCUUGAGCAUCAUAGGGCCCACUAGUCAGUAUAAGGGCAUAAGAAAGGUCCACCCCGGAUGGACCCAUCCCUGGAUAAACCUGAGACAUAAAACCGAGGGUUGGGCGGAUCGAGGGGAAGCCACUCGAGUGAAUUCCAUGCCUGACCAGGACUGACCUGCUAUGCUGUGUUAACUAUGCUUGGCGCCAAGCCACCGAGGGCGAGUCGGUCCAGUUACCACUCAUAACCUACGGGCCCCUAAGACUGUGGACCACUCAUGACCUAUCAAGCCUAGGCCUGAGAACGUUGUCGCCUACAGGCCCCGCAACACGAUGAGCCACGUUGAGACCUAGGCUAUGUUGGCCAGGGGUCGACGUGGCACAAAGAUGACAAUGAUGACACUGGGACUCUUCGCCGCCCAUGUCGCUCGCCAUGAGUGCGACCUGGGAAGCCCAAACGACCAGGGCAUGAAUGGACAAACAUGACUUUACCAAGGUAAGACGCCCCGUUUUACCACGACACAGUAGCUCCUUCCAUGGGAAGCUACCGAUAGCCUACCCCCGCCAUGGCCUAUAAAAAGGUGGGAGGUUGGCCAAAAUAAGAGGGGAUGCAUGGACGCAUUGAAGGAGACACACAUGAGACGAUAGACAUACACUCUCGAUGAGACUAGAAGACCUAGAGGCCGGAGACGAGGCACGAGCCACCAUGAUGUCCAAGGCUUAGCUUAGAACUCCAGUUUCUUAGUCUUUAGGUCCACCCAUGCAUAAGAGAUCUGAGAGCUCCGCCUUCUCUGUCACACCCGGAUUUAAGGGCCAAACCCGGGUGCGAAUCAAAUGUGUGCUAGGAUCAAGUCUCACACAUAUGAUGACUCAUGGUACAGAAACGAAUGUCACAUUUUUAAUAUAUAAUGAAGUUCUGUACAAAAUAGUUAAAUAAUUACAUCAUACGAAGACAACAAUCCCGCAACCAUAGUUGACUGGGAGACAACGGCCUAGACCUCUCACAAACUCAUCGCGACAUCCUCCAUGCUCCUUAUCCAGCAGUACAUGUUCUUGACCUAGGGGGAUGUGAGUACAACAAGAGUGAGCUCACAUAUGUUCAUCGCUCAACAAGUAGUGGGGAAUAAUGUGCAUGAUCUCACUUACAGUGGGGUCUCAUGUGAAGUGUAAGGCUUACCAAAGAAGAUGGUUAAAGCUAAGCAUUGCUUUUAAAGUUGGUCAAAAUUUUAUUAGUUGUUACUAAGUGUAAGUAGAUACCAACCCAAUUAAAUAAGAGAUCACAAUUAAUAAUAACACUCACAAUGCAAUGCAUAUGAUAGAUUAAGUUUAGUUCCAUAAGUUAAUCAUGCGAGAGUCCUGAGUUGCUCUUGACCGCGAGCACGGCUGAUAUACCAGUUUUACACUCUACAGAGGUUGCGCCCUUUACCCACAAGCCGUGUUACCCAUUUACCAAGGGAUCACGACUUCUCAUUCAUCUUUGCCUAGGAGACAAGGCAGGGUAGCACUACGAGGCCUUUACAAAGUUCCAUUAGCUUCAGAAAACCCCUUUGCAAUUUCUGAGAAGGGCAAUACAGGAAUCCCUCGUUCGAAAAGCCAUCGCAGCAUGAUCAACCUGAGAACCUCCCUAUAUCGCAGCUCCUCUACCGCCCUUGCCCCUUUCAGGUAAGGUAGUCGUCCACUAGCUUUCAUAAUUAGUCAGCCAAGAGCAUUCCAUACCACCCUUGUGGUAGCACUGUUAUCUCAAGUUAAGCUCCAUGUUCCAAUUAACAUAAUAAUCUUGUCAUGAACAAUAAUUAAAACAACAACAAAAUGGGAACAUGGUCAUAAUUCAGAUGUAACAUUAAUCCCAAAAUCAGGUAGAGCAAUAGCAUAUACUACCCAAAAGUUCAGUGGUAAACAAGGUGUGGGAUAAACAAUACUAGGUAAAUCUAUUAGGUUCCAUCAAAUUAACCUGAGCAUGUCACAGUGAUUAACAGAGAACAUUAUUAGGUAAAGAAGAGUGAUCAAGGGCACAACUUGCCUUAGACUUGAGAUUCCCAGGUACUUUACCAAAUUGGUCUUCAAGUGACUCGUAACGUCGCUGCUACUCGUAGAAUUACAUACAAAUAGACAAGAAGUACAUAAAAAUAAUAGUAUACCAAACAUGAGAACAAACAACGUAAGAAUAUCCUACGCGCUGCUAUGAGAUCGUAGGUUCGAGAACCACUAGAAUCGGAGUUACGGUUAAAGAGUUAUGAUUUUCUAAAGAUUUAGGCAUAAAACAAUUUAAGUGCAUGAUUUUAACCAAUUGUGUCAUAGCAAAAUAAAGUUACUGCAUGAUAAACAAUAUCAAUACGAAUUUAAUGUCACUGAAAUGGAUUAAUUUGGGUUUAAAACAAAGAAGCCAUGCCUUUAUGAAUGUUUAGGAUUUAAUUUCUAUAUUAAAAAUCCAUUUUCUGGUUCAUUUUAGUAAACAUGAGUUCUAUUUGGACUUCAGGCAUAAAUUCCAGAGAGGACAGGGUCUAAAGCGUAAAACCUACGACUUGGAUGUAAGGAUAUUAUCACAUCAGUGGACGGCGGGUUGUUUUCUAGAAUCCGGAUGGGGCCUUUUGCAAAACGGACAACCGAAGGGGUAUGCAUGCUUUCUAGCCACUCGAUUUCAGUCCGAGGGUUCGGAUUAGAUCCUGGUCCUACGAAUCAGCACAAUGCCAAGGGCCCUCCGAGUUAAAACUAACACCCUAUAUUUAAAGUGCUUAGAGCAACUCCAGCAGUUCUCUAAAAGACUUCCUAAAUCAAUAAUUUAGGUAGCUAAUAUAAAAACUCAUCUCCAACAGUUCUCUAAAUGAACUUUCUAAAUUUAGCAACUCAUCGUCUUACCUCAUUUCAUCUCUACAUUUGACAACCAUUUAGCAACUCCCUAAACAAAAUGUUGACUGCAUUAUAUAGUUAAUGAAGGUAAUUGAUAACAUUUAUGACUUGUUUUUUAUGUGGAUAGAUACAAAACAAAAUUACAACCUAUAUUUAGAGAACUACUAGAUAACUCACAUUUUUUUACUUCCAAAGUUGUUUAACAACUUCUUAAAUAUGUGAUUUAGAGAGCUAAAAUUUACAUAACUAUUGGAGUUGCUCUUAGAGCUUCUCCAAGAGAUCCCAAAAAUAAAUCUUCCAAUACAAGGGAAUUAGGAUCUCCCUAAAUCUCUUAAUUCCACUCCAUGGGUACCAUCCCCAACAGCUCCCAAGAUUUUUAAAAAAUCUAAAUGCAUAGGUCCACCUACGAAUUAAAUGUACAUAUAAACAGCUUCAUCUGGCAGAGUGCUCCACCUACAAAUUUUGUUUCAAGAUUACUGGAGACGCAUGAAGGUCAAACCUUGCUUCCAAUGAUCAAAUCAUCAUGAGUCGUUGGACAUUAACAGAUCAAAGCAUAUCGUGUCUGAAUAAGAACAAGGUGCAUGGGGACGGGUGAAGAUGCGAGAGCCAGGCUUCCGACACAGGAGGACCUUCAUAUUGAAGGCGAUAGAGCAUAGCGCCAUGGGAUGAUCUCUCGACGUGGAUAGAGACGGUGAGCCAGCGAGCAUAUUGAAGGCGAGAGAGAGAGAGAGAGAGAGCGGCACAACAUUCUGUCGCGCGAAUUCAAAUGAACGCUGCAACCGGACUGGCACGAAUCGGUGGAAGUAAGGCGGGACGGUGUACAACCUUGAUUGGGAGCUCCAGAGGCGGCGAAGGUUUGCGCCGUGGAGAGGGAUUUUUUCGCAUGCGGUAUUUUACGGAUACCACAUAGAAAACUGUUGGAGACAAUUUUUUCUUUUUUUUCCUAGAAUAAGGAUUGGACAGAGGGUUUUAAGGAUCUCUUGGAGAUGAUCUUAGAUCGAAUCUCACACGAACUCCUACUUGAACCAGAACGAAGUGCUGACCAUCGGAUCUAAGUUUGAUGGUCGAAUUUUAAUAAACAGAGUUCUAAUGUACCCCAUUUGAUCCGUGAUCAACGGUCCAGGAUCUACUCCGAAGCGGUACGCCUCGGUUCUAAUCUGGACCGUCUGCUUACAUAUCGACGGCCACGACGCGCAGCCUCAUCAUCCUGGCUUGCCCUGGCGGCGCCAUCCCCGGCGACAAGUAAAUCGGCCACCCCGGCAUACAACUUCACUCACACAAUCGCUACUCGAAGAGGAAGGUCGGGCGAACGACAUGGUUGGCUUCUUACCGGCUGUAGAGCAGUAGCAGACCUUGACCACGAAACGAAGCGGCUCCACGGCGAUGAUGUACUCUGGCGACGAAUUCCCAAUCACUCACUGAUCCUCUAUGCUACCGAUCUCCACCAAUGGAUCUGUGAUGGUCCAGCGAUUCCCGAGAGCUACCAAUCGAGGCUCCAGUGAUGCCUUUCCGCGAGGAUGUGGCCGGCGGCGGUCAGGGUCCCUCUUUUGUGCGAGCUCACGAUUCGUGGUGCUCGCCCGACAUGAAGAUGGCUAGGGGUGCGGGGCUCGGUAUUUAUUCGUCGGGCUGAGGGGUUCGCAGAGUCCAGUAGCGGAAACUCCGCUCGAUCUCAACAACCCAGAGCAGUGGUCGCGGUGAUCGGAG
This 12592-nucleotide long non-coding RNA is filed under the name Zea mays. RNAcentral's name for it is "long non-coding RNA (ZMAY_LNC001450)". The record is from RNAcentral. Lineage: Eukaryota; Viridiplantae; Streptophyta; Magnoliopsida; Poales; Poaceae.